Molecule: ribosomal RNA, 1401 nt
Filed under: uncultured archaeon
Lineage: Archaea
Description: bacterial SSU rRNA
Rfam family: Archaeal small subunit ribosomal RNA
Source: RNAcentral
GGAUACUGCUAUCGGAUUUCGACUAAGCCAUGCAAGUUUUGCGGUCCGAGUGUUGGACCGCAGCGUACGGCUCAGUAACACGUAGUCAACCUACCCUAGUGACGGGGACAACCUUGGGAAACUGAGGGUAAUUCCCGAUAGGCCAGGGAGUCUGGAACGACUCCUGGCUCAAACGGGCGCGCGGAUUGCAGCGCGUACCGCUCUAGGAUGGGACUGCGGCUGAUUAGCUAGUUGGUGGGGUAACGGCCCACCAAGGCGAUAAUCAGUAGGGGCUAUGAGAGUAGGAGCCCCGAGACGGGCACUGAGACAAGGGCCCGAGCCCUACGGGGUGCAGCAGGCGCGAAACUUCCGCAAUGCGCGAAAGCGUGACGGGGGGAAUCCGAGUGAUAGCCUAACGGUCAUCUUUUACCAAGCUUGAAGCGCAUGGGGAAUAAGGGGUGGGUAAAUCCUGUGCCAGCCGCCGCGGUAACACAGGUAGCCCGAGUGGUGUCCACGAAUAUUGAGCUUAAAGCGUCCGUAGCCGGUUUGGCAAGUUUCCUGUGAAAUCUCUUGGCUCAAACCAAGAGGCGUGCAGGGAAUACUACCAGGCUAGGGAGUGGGGGAGGUCAGAGGUACACUAGGGGGAGCGGUAAAAUGCUGUAAUCCUUGUGGACCACCAGUGGCGAAGGCGUCUGACCAAAACACGUCCGACGGUGAGGGACGAAGGCUAGGGGAGCAAAUCGGAUUAGAUACCCGAGUAGUCCUAGCUGUAAAUGAUGCAAACUAGGCGUUGCACUUGCCUUGAGCGGGUGCAGUGCCGUAGGGAAACCGUUUAGUUUGCCGCUUGGGGAGUACGGUCGCAAGGCUUAAACUUAAAGGAAUUGGCGGGGGAACACCACAAGCCGUGGAUGCUGCGGUUCAAUUGGAUUCAACGCCGGGAAACUCACCAAGAGAGACGGCAGAAUGAGGCUCAAGCUAACGACUUUAGCCGACAAGCCGAGAAGUGUUGCAUGGCCAGCGUCAGUUCGUGCCGUGAGGUGUCAGGUUAAGUCCUGAAACGAACGAGAUCCCCGUUCACAGUUGCUAACUUCGGAGCGAUCCGGGGUGCACUCUGUGAAGACUGCCCGUGUUAAGCGGGAGGAAGGAGGGGGCGACGCUAGGUCUGUAUGGCCCGAAUCUCUUGGGCCACACGUGGCAUACAAUGGCCCAGACAAUGGGCUCCGACGCCGAAAGGCGAAGGCAAUCUCCGAAACUGGGUCUAAGUUCAGAUUGCGGGCUGAAACUCGUCCGCAUGAAGCUGGAAUGGCUAGUAAUCGCGCGUCAUCAUCGCGCGGUGAAUAUGUCCCUGUUCCUUGCACACACCGCCCGUCAAGCCAUCCAAGCUUGGUUUUAGUGAGGCUUCCGUGAUGAGCGAAAGUCGAG